GGGAUCUUGGACUCUAGGCGCAAGGCCUAGGUGUGUGGCUGAGAGAGCCGAGGCACGUAAAAUUAAAAUUUGCAAGAAGAAUUCAAAAUUAAGAUAUUCGCAGUAUUUGACCAAAAUUAAUGAUCUUCAAUCAGAAGUUAACAAUCUAAUCAUUAAGAAAAAAUAGAAAACAAAUAUAGACUUGAACAAAGAUAUUACUAUUGUUUUCCUCCAUUACUUGCUUUGGACAACAUUAACACUUUGAGAACUCUAAAUGAUAGUGCAUUUUACAAUGGCAUAGGCUUAGACCAAAAUUUCAUAUAUUUACGAUUGCAUUAAAAAAUAUAUAUCUACCUUAGCUGAAAAAUAGUUUUUUCUUUUUUGUCAACCCUUCAGUUAAUUUAUUCAAGUUCUU
RNAcentral lists this unclassified non-coding RNA (394 nucleotides) under Hevea brasiliensis (rubber tree). Lineage: Eukaryota; Viridiplantae; Streptophyta; Magnoliopsida; Malpighiales; Euphorbiaceae. The record is from RNAcentral.